UUACUAAUAAGCAAGGUGUUUGUCUGGUCCGUUUUUUUUUUAGAGAGAUAGGUAGCACGCUGCCCGCUUCGUUUAUUUCAUUUUAGAAAUAAACUUAGCUGGAAAUGUGAAUCAACUAGGAUUCGAACUUGGGUCUCGGAUACCAACCAUCAAGCCUUUUGCCACUUGCUCUAAGGACGGUCAGUAUAAUGCGCUGUCAACUAAAGUUGAAAUAGUGUCGAAAGCAGCUAAAUUUUUUUUAAGUACCUUCCUAGGAGAACGAAUUUAAAUAUUCUUGGAUUCAGUAUUGAUUAUUAAAGCGAUUCACUUUAGGUCUCACCAAUCUAAGUCGAUCAGGAUGUUAGAACGAAGCUCAAAAUACUUUAGGCCCUCUUCAGUGAACGCCUUUUCCUUUCGAUGGAAUUCUCGCUUCUUCAGAAAUGCUAUGCAAACUGAUUAACUAGCUAAUUAUGGUCCGUCUAGCAAAAAAUAUACUGUGUGGUCCUCUUUCGAAGAUUUUUUCU
Molecule: long non-coding RNA, 503 nt
Filed under: Ananas comosus (pineapple)
Lineage: Eukaryota; Viridiplantae; Streptophyta; Magnoliopsida; Poales; Bromeliaceae
Description: long non-coding RNA (ACOM_LNC005053)
Source: RNAcentral